Molecule: long non-coding RNA, 2353 nt
Filed under: Homo sapiens (human)
Lineage: Eukaryota; Metazoa; Chordata; Mammalia; Primates; Hominidae
Description: HSALNT0402473
Source: RNAcentral
GGCAGUGGGAGGCGGGGCCCAGUCGGAGAGCGGGGCGGAUUUGGGCGGGUGAGGUGAGUCUCCAGUCGCCGGAGGCAGAGGCUGGGCCCCACUGCUCGGAGACCCCAUGUUUGGGGAGCCCAGAGCGUUCCCGGCAGGGCCCUGGGGCCCGGGGGACGGCCCGCCAUGCCAAUCAGGAGGGGGCGCGUUUUCCCUUCCCAGGCAGAAAGGCGUCCUCCCUCUCCUCCUCCCCCCAGCGCAGAAUCCUCCCCACACCUCCCUCGGCCCCGCAGGGGAAAUCGGCCUGCCCCUACGGAAAUCCCGUUUCUUUAUACACCCGGUCCUGGCUGGGCGGUGUCUUCCCCGUGGAAGAGAGGGUCCGGGAGGUCCGUGGGGCGGAACAGUCCGAGGGCUUCGGGAGUCAGCCCGGGUGGAUUUGUUUCGUGGCUCUCGUUGCUGGCUGGGACGGCCGUGUGCCCGUGUUGUUCCGGAGAUCGAGGCCAACGGAUGCCGUACUCUGUCCUCGCCGGGUGCUCAGUGAGGACCCACAGCUGGGCAGGGACCCUGGGAGGCCCCUGAGCAAGACUUGGAGGGACGCCCUUGUGCCCCCUGAGCACGUGGGGAAGGCGCUGUCCUGGGCCCUGCACCGCUCUGUGUGUUCAUUGCACGAGUGUGGUAAGCACCUACUAUGUGCACAUGGCCGAGCCAAGCGCAGGGAACGGUAAACCAAGGGAGAACGGCCUUCCCGUGGGGAGCAGUGCAGAGGCUGGCGGGGGCGGGUGGUGGGGAGAGCUCAGGUUUCAGCUGAGGUCUAAGGACGGAGGGCAGGGAACCGCCUGAGCCCCACCUGGGAGGGGGAGCUCGGUGCCGGAGAGCAGUGCCAGGACCUGCGAUGGGAGAGGUGUGCAGCCCCGAGGGGUCACUGAUGAGGCAGACGGGUCAGUUGGGUUGACACUCAGAGGGUCCUCAGGGGCAGACGCUGAGACGGGGUUUGGGGUUUGGGGUGCAGAGUGAGUACUGGUGAUCAGCACCUGGGAAGGGGUGGGGAGGGUGCAGGGCCGGGCAGGGACUGUAGGGGCGGCCUGCGUUGGGCUUGGCUGGCACAGCCUUUGUGGCUUGCUUGGACCCAUAUGCAGCCGCCCAGGGACGGGAGACCCUGGUGAGGUGUCUGUGGUCCAGGCCCACCCUGAAGGAGCCGUGGGGCCGACUGCCGACCACGCCUGACAGCACGGCCUUCCAGGUCACCCGCUUCCCUCUAGGCUGGCCUGACCCAGCUCACCUCAUUCUCAACCUCACCAGUCAACACCGGUCAACAUCAGUCACAGAGCGUCUGAAAGGAGGAAUUUUCAUUUUCCUUUAAAGUGAAAAGGUAAAAACUGCAUUUACUAAACCAGGCCGGUGGGGGCUCUGUGAGCCCCUCUGCACAGGAAGCCUCAGAGACGCUGCAUGGUGUUCCCGGGGCAUCCUGGCCAAGGUGGGAGAACGCAGCCUCCGUGAGGACCCGCGGGAUGCCCUCGGGGGCCGCCUCCUGGUUCUCGUCUCCUCUGAAGUGCAGACGACGCUGGCCCACAUCCUUGUCGGGCAGAGGGGCUGCCGACUGGCCCCUGGCCAUGGCUCUUGCUGGGAGCCGUGUGGCCUGGGCUUGGACCCACAUCCACCUCUUGCUGGCUGCCUGCUCUUGCCAGUGGCUGAGCCUGGCUUCUCCCAUGACAGUGGCCGCAGACAGAGGGGACCCGUGCCACCAGGCAAGGUGUCUGGGGGCGAGGUGAGAGUUCUGCCAAAGCCGGAGCCAGGGUUGGACCCCCGGAGCUCGUUGGUCGGCCCCUGGAGGGAGAGUGGUGUGUUCACACCACGGCCCUGGUGGCCCAGCUCUGCCCAUCUUCAUCCCAGGUGGCAGCUGCUGCCCAGCUCUCUGGCCAGUGCCUCUUAGAUGGUGUCACCACCUGCAGAAGAAAACAGAAGUGCUGACUAAUAUUUGAUGAAGGCCUGCUAUGCCGGCGGCACCUGAUGUGGCAGGUGAAGUCCGGGGGGCAGCAGCCAAGGCUGCCUGUUCCUCAGUGUCCCUGCGCGUGAGACGGGCAUAGCUAACUCCUGUGGCCACCUUGAGGGUAAGAUGCUUCCUGCAGGUGCUUGGACCAGUAUCUGGCACGGGGCAGGUGCUCAGCGAAAGUUCCUUAUUAAUCCCUGUACCUUUCACUGUUGGAAGUAACUCAGGACAUUGGCUUGGUGGUUACACAAGCACUGUGGGAGAAGGUGGUGUAUCUGUUCACCCUGGGUCCCAGUGGCUGAGGCAGAGCCAGCCAUGCAGGAGGCAGGCGUCCAGUAUGUAUAUUGGAUGGAAGGUUGAAUUGCAUAAUAAAAUAUAUUAAAGAUU